Molecule: ribosomal RNA, 230 nt
Filed under: uncultured Alicycliphilus sp.
Lineage: Bacteria; Pseudomonadati; Pseudomonadota; Betaproteobacteria; Burkholderiales; Comamonadaceae
Description: partial 16S ribosomal RNA
Rfam family: Bacterial small subunit ribosomal RNA
Source: RNAcentral
AGAGAUGCACUGGGUAUAAAGCGUGCGCAGGCGGUUUUGUAAGACAGAGGUGAAAUCCCCGGGCUCAACCUGGGAACUGCCUUUGUGACUGCAAGGCUAGAGUACGGCAGAGGGGGAUGGAAUUCCGCGUGUAGCAGUGAAAUGCGUAGAUAUGCGGAGGAACACCGAUGGCGAAGGCAAUCCCCUGGGCCUGUACUGACGCUCAUGCACGAAAGCGUGGGGAGCAAACA